GUAGGGUCCAAGCGUUAAUCGGAAUUACUGGGCGUAAAGCGUGCGCAGGCGGUUGUGCAAGACCGAUGUGAAAUCCCCGGGCUUAACCUGGGAAUUGCAUUGGUGACUGCACGGCUAGAGUGUGUCAGAGGGGGGUAGAAUUCCACGUGUAGCAGUGAAAUGCGUAGAGAUGUGGAGGAAUACCGAUGGCGAAGGCAGCCCCCUGGGAUAACACUGACGCUCAUGCACGAAAGCGUGGGGGGGAGCAAACAGGAUUAGAUACCCUGGUAGUCCACGCCCCUAAACGAUGUCAACUAGUUGUUGGGGAUUCAUUUCCUUAGUAACGUAGCUAACGCGUGAAGUUGACCGCCUGGGAGUACGGUCGCAAGAUUA
Molecule: ribosomal RNA, 372 nt
Filed under: uncultured organism
Description: partial 16S ribosomal RNA
Rfam family: Bacterial small subunit ribosomal RNA
Source: RNAcentral